AUACAACUUUCAGCAACGGAUCUCUUGGCUCUCGCAUCGAUGAAGAACGCAGCGAAAUGCGAUAAGUAAUGUGAAUUGCAAGAAUUCAGUGAAUCAUCGAAUCUUUGAACGCACCUUGCGCCCUUUGGCUAUUCCGAAGGGCAUGCCUGUUUGAGUAUC
Molecule: ribosomal RNA, 159 nt
Filed under: uncultured Thelephoraceae
Lineage: Eukaryota; Fungi; Basidiomycota; Agaricomycetes; Thelephorales; Thelephoraceae
Description: 5.8S ribosomal RNA
Rfam family: 5.8S ribosomal RNA
About the family: 5.8S ribosomal RNA (5.8S rRNA) is a component of the large subunit of the eukaryotic ribosome. It is transcribed by RNA polymerase I as part of the 45S precursor that also contains 18S and 28S rRNA.
Source: RNAcentral